UACAGAGGGUGCGAGCGUUAAUCGGAAUUACUGGGCGUAAAGGGCUCGUAGGCGGCCAACUAAGUCAUACGUGAAAUCCCUCAGCUUAACUGGGGAACUGCGUGUGAUACUGGAUGGCUUGGAUUUGGGAGAGGGAUGCGGAAUUCCAGGUGUAGCGGUGAAAUGCGUAGAUAUCUGGAGGAACACCGGUGGCGAAGGCGGCAUUCUGGACCAACACUGACGCUGAGGAGCGAAAGCCAGGGGAGCAAACGGG
This 253-nucleotide ribosomal RNA is filed under the name uncultured bacterium. RNAcentral describes it as "partial 16S ribosomal RNA". It matches the Rfam family "Bacterial small subunit ribosomal RNA", at positions 524 to 776 of the family's 1533-position model. The record is from RNAcentral.